GCGAGUGUGGCGGAAUUGGUAGACGCGUCGGAUUCAAAAUCCGAUUUCCUCGGAAGUGCGAGUUCGAUUCUCGCCAUUCGCACCA
This 85-nucleotide transfer RNA is filed under the name Marinomonas primoryensis. Its description in RNAcentral is "tRNA-Leu". It matches the Rfam family "tRNA". Rfam says of the family: Transfer RNA (tRNA) molecules are approximately 80 nucleotides in length. Their secondary structure includes four short double-helical elements and three loops (D, anti-codon, and T loops). The record is from RNAcentral. Lineage: Bacteria; Pseudomonadati; Pseudomonadota; Gammaproteobacteria; Oceanospirillales; Oceanospirillaceae.